This 73-nucleotide transfer RNA is filed under the name Canis lupus familiaris (dog). It matches the Rfam family "tRNA". From Rfam's summary of the family: Transfer RNA (tRNA) molecules are approximately 80 nucleotides in length. Their secondary structure includes four short double-helical elements and three loops (D, anti-codon, and T loops). Lineage: Eukaryota; Metazoa; Chordata; Mammalia; Carnivora; Canidae. RNAcentral also lists the same sequence under 2 other names. The record is from Rfam by way of RNAcentral.
GCCUGGCUGGCUCAGUUGGAGGAGCGUGCAACUCUUGAUUUCAGGGUCGUGGGUUUGAGCCCCACACUGGGCU